GUGCCAGCCGCCGCGGUAAUACCGGCAGCCCGAGUGAUGGCCGAUGUUAUUGGGCCUAAAGCGUCCGUAGCCGGCCGGGCAAGUCCGUCGGGAAAUCCGCGCGCUCAACGCGCGGGCGUCCGGCGGAAACUGCUCGGCUUGGGACCGGAAGACCCGAGGGGUACGUCCGGGGUAGGAGUGAAAUCCCGUAAUCCUGGACGGACCGCCGGUGGCGAAAGCGCCUCGGGAGAACGGAUCCGACGGUCAGGGACGAAAGCUGGGGUCUCGAACCGGAUUAGAAACCCCGGUAGUCC
Molecule: ribosomal RNA, 293 nt
Filed under: uncultured bacterium
Lineage: Bacteria
Description: partial 16S ribosomal RNA
Rfam family: Archaeal small subunit ribosomal RNA
Source: RNAcentral